Molecule: long non-coding RNA, 606 nt
Filed under: Coffea arabica (coffee)
Lineage: Eukaryota; Viridiplantae; Streptophyta; Magnoliopsida; Gentianales; Rubiaceae
Description: long non-coding RNA (CARA_LNC001284)
Source: RNAcentral
AUUGGAACAUUCAAUCAAUUUGAUCCCUCUAAGUUUCUUUUUGUUCCACAAGAGCCCAAGCAUGUUCUAGUAUCUUGUAAUUAAGUCCUAAGAUCAUUGCAACUUCAAUCAUUGUUUGGCUUUUCCUUUAUUUUUUGAGAUCUUUGAAGUGUUUAAACGAUUUAUUUGGACUUGAAUGUUUGAGUAAUGCUUGUUUUGGGUCUUUAGUAGAUGCUAUAUUUGGAAAUUGAACGGGUUAUUCCGUUUUCUUGGUCUUUAAGCAUUUUUUUUGUGCUCAUUCAAGUUGCAAUUAGGUGGGUUUUGAUGUUUUUGCUUAUACUUUACUUUUAAAUUGAUGCCUUGACCCCUUUAUUGUUUUGAAGCCAUUUUCCUUCAUUUGCUUACCAUUAGGGGAAGGUAUAAUUUCUUUUAUCUUUGUUUAUCUCUCCUAUGUGAUCCAAUGUGCUAAGUGAAUUGCAUGUCUACUUUGCUUUCCUAGCUUUUCUUUAAUUCCUUUUAUUUAUGUCAUUUAUUUUUGCUCUUUAUUUAAGUUAUUCUUUAUGGGGUAUGUGUACACCUCUUGGCUUGUAAUAGUUAGGGAUUCAACUAUUUUAUUCUCUUUCCCCC